This 501-nucleotide ribosomal RNA is filed under the name uncultured bacterium. Its description in RNAcentral is "partial 16S ribosomal RNA". It matches the Rfam family "Bacterial small subunit ribosomal RNA", at positions 30 to 523 of the family's 1533-position model. The record is from RNAcentral.
AUUGAACGCUGGCGGCAGGCUUAACACAUGCAAGUCGAGCGGGGGAAGGUAGCUUGCUACCGGACCUAGCGGCGGACGGGUGAGUAAUGCUUAGGAAUCUGCCUAUUAGUGGGGGACAACAUCUCGAAAGGGAUGCUAAUACCGCAUACGUCCUACGGGAGAAAGCAGGGGAUCUUCGGACCUUGCGCUAAUAGAUGAGCUUAAGUCGGAUUAGCUAGUUGGUGGGGUAAAGGCCUACCAAGGCGACGAUCUGUAGCGGGUCUGAGAGGAUGAUCAGCCACACUGGGACUGAGACACGGCCCAGACUCCUACGGGAGGCAGCAGUGGGGAAUAUUGGACAAUGGGGGGAACCCUGAUCCAGCCAUGCCGCGUGUGUGAAGAAGGCCUUAUGGUUGUAAAGCACUUUAAGCGAGGAGGAGGCUACUUUAGUUAAUACCUAGAGAUAGUGGACGUUACUCGCAGAAUAAGCACCGGCUAACUCUGUGCCAGCAGCCGCCGUAA